Molecule: ribosomal RNA, 696 nt
Filed under: uncultured archaeon
Lineage: Archaea
Description: bacterial SSU rRNA
Rfam family: Archaeal small subunit ribosomal RNA
Source: RNAcentral
CCCGGGAAACUGGGGGUAAUGCCCCAUAGGUCACAGAUGCUGGAAUGCCCUGUGGCUCAAAGGUCCGCCGCCUCAGGAUGAGUCUGCGGCCGAUUAGGUUGUUGUUGGGGUAAUGGCCCAACAAGCCUGUAAUCGGUACGGGUUGUGAGAGCAAGAGCCCGGAGAUGGAUUCUGAGACACGAAUCCAGGCCCUACGGGGCGCAGCAGGCGCGAAAACUUUACAAUGCGGGAAACCGUGAUAAGGGAACCCCGAGUGCCCGUAAAUUCGGGCUGUUCACCAGUGCAAACAGCUGGUGGAGAAAGGGCCGGGCAAGACCGGUGCCAGCCGCCGCGGUAAUACCGGCGGCUCGAGUGGUGGCCACUAUUACUGGGCUUAAAGCGUCCGUAGCUGGGUUGUUAAGUCUCUGGGGAAAUCUUCCGGCUUAACCGGAAGGCGUCUCAGGGAUACUGGCAAUCUAGGGAUCGGAAGAGGUGAGGGGUACUCCAGGGGUAGGAGUGAAAUCCUGUAAUCCUUGGGGGACCACCUGUGGCGAAGGCGCCUCACCAGGACGACUCCGACAGUGAGGGACGAAAGCUGGGGGAGCAAACCGGAUUAGAUACCCGGGUAGUCCCAGCUGUAAACGAUGCGCGUUAGGUGUAUCGGUGACCACGAGUUACCGAGGUGCCGAAGGGAAACCGUGAAACGCGCCGCCUGGG